This 479-nucleotide ribosomal RNA is filed under the name uncultured bacterium. RNAcentral's name for it is "partial 16S ribosomal RNA". It matches the Rfam family "Bacterial small subunit ribosomal RNA", at positions 28 to 507 of the family's 1533-position model. The record is from RNAcentral.
GAUGAACGCUGGCGGCGUGCUUAACACAUGCAAGUCGAACGAAGCACCUUGAUUUGAUUCUUCGGAUGAAGAUCUUGGUGACUGAGUGGCGGACGGGUGAGUAACGCGUGGGUAACCUGCCUCAUACAGGGGGAUAACAGUUAGAAAUGACUGCUAAUACCGCAUAAGACCACAGCACCGCAUGGUGCAGGGGUAAAAACUCCGGUGGUAUGAGAUGGACCCGCGUCUGAUUAGGUAGUUGGUGGGGUAACGGCCUACCAAGGCGACGAUCAGUAGCCGACCUGGGAGGGUGACCGGCCACAUUGGGACUGAGACACGGCCCAAACUCCUACGGGAGGCAGCAGUGGGGAAUAUUGCACAAUGGGGGAAACCCUGAUGCAGCGACGCCGCGGGAGCGAUGAAGUAUUUCGGUAUGUAAAGCUCUAUCAGCAGGGAAGAAAAUGACGGUACCUGACUAAGAAGCACCGGCUAAAUACGUG